GAUGAACGCUGGCGGCGUGCCUAACACAUGCAAGUCGAGCGGUAUAUACUGGAACGAAACUUCGGUCUAGAGAAGGUAUAGAGAGCGGCGGACGGGUGAGUAACGCGUAGGCAACCUGCCCCAUACAGAGGGAUAGCCUCGGGAAACCGGGAUUAAAACCUCAUAAUACGAAAGCUUCACAUGUUGCUUUCGUCAAAGAUUUAUCGGUAUGGGAUGGGCCUGCGUCUGAUUAGCUAGUUGGUGAGGUAACGGCUCACCAAGGCGACGAUCAGUAGCCGACCUGAGAGGGUAAUCGGCCACAUUGGAACUGAGACACGGUCCAAACUCCUACGGGAGGCAGCAGUGGGGAAUAUUGCACAAUGGGCGAAAGCCUGAUGCAGCAACGCCGCGUGAGCGAUGAAGGCCUUUGGGUCGUAAAGCUCUGUCCUUGGGGAGAAAAAAUGACGGUACCCAUGGAGGAAGCCCCGGCUAACUACGUG
RNAcentral lists this ribosomal RNA (479 nucleotides) under uncultured bacterium. RNAcentral describes it as "bacterial SSU rRNA". It matches the Rfam family "Bacterial small subunit ribosomal RNA", at positions 28 to 507 of the family's 1533-position model. The record is from RNAcentral.